This 1067-nucleotide ribosomal RNA is filed under the name Foraminiferan sp. M77. RNAcentral's name for it is "bacterial SSU rRNA". It matches the Rfam family "Eukaryotic small subunit ribosomal RNA", at positions 1176 to 1778 of the family's 1831-position model. The record is from RNAcentral. Lineage: Eukaryota; Foraminifera.
GUGGAGCAUGUGGCUUAAUUUGACUCAACGCGGGAAAUCUUACCGGGUCCGGACACACUGAGGAUUGACAGGCGCUUGCAGUGGCAGUUGGUGGCGUGGCCCUUGCGGGUUGUGCCGCCCGCUGCCAAUGCUUUCAAAUAUGCUAGUCCUUUCAUGAUUGUGUGAUAGGUGGUGCAUGGCCGUUCUUAGUUCGUGGAGUGAUCUGUCUGCUUAAUUGCGUUUCACAAGGGACUUGCAUGACAUACGUUGGGACACGGUGCCCUCCCCACGCUGCCCCUCUGGGGCCGGGGGAGCGUUGCGCCUGUCUUUCAAUAGUCAACAGUCCCGAAGGCAACGAACGUGACCGCAGCCUGCUGUUACCUCUCUGUUUUCCACUUCGGGGCUGUGCGUGCCGUGUGGUCGCUUCGGUGGCCCGCGGUUCCGUGCUGUCCCCGUUGAGAGGGGUAAACUGCAGGGACCGCCGACGUUUUCAAACCGGAGGAAGGUUGCGGCAAUAACAGGUCUGUGAUGCCCUUAGAUGUUCCGGGCUGCACACGUGCUACAAUGAUUAUUGCAGUGAGCAUCUUCACAAGUUCGUGGGUUGUCUGCGCCUUGGUCAUUUUGCCGUGUCGGCGUGGGGAACCGGUGUGCGGCCUUGUGUGGCUUUCUUUCGGGAAGGUUGCGCAGGUGUUCCGCUGCGCUGGGAAUCCACGUCACUGGCUUUGGCCUGGGCGCGCAACCGUUAUCACGACACGCCUGCUUCGAAAGUAAGCAGGUAAUCAAUUCGAAGUAAUGAUUUCCACUCGCACUCCUGAGCGCUGGCGCCGACUGGCUUUUAGCUGUGUCACGCCAGCGUGUGCUCCAUAACUUCGUGGUGGGGACAGACCCUUGUUAAUUGUUGGUCUCGGUCUCAACUAGGAAUGCCUUGUACGGGUCUUUGGUUCAACAAACCACCCGGAAUAUGUCCCUGCCCUUUGUACACACCGCCCGUCGCUCUUACCGAUGGACUUCUCUGUGAGUUUGCGGGACUAGGUCGACUGCUUCGGCGGCCGACCGAUGGAAACGUACACGAACAGUGUGGUCUAAAG